CCAACGGCCCUCUUUAGGGCCACAAUUCAAUUCCAAACCAAGUUG
Molecule: non-coding RNA, 45 nt
Organism: Pristionchus pacificus
Lineage: Eukaryota; Metazoa; Nematoda; Chromadorea; Rhabditida; Neodiplogasteridae
Source: Rfam